RNAcentral lists this ribosomal RNA (529 nucleotides) under uncultured bacterium. RNAcentral describes it as "partial 16S ribosomal RNA". It matches the Rfam family "Bacterial small subunit ribosomal RNA", at positions 355 to 900 of the family's 1533-position model. The record is from RNAcentral.
UGGGGAAUAUUGCACAAUGGGCGAAAGCCUGAUGCAGCAACGCCGCGUGAGUGAUGAAGGUCUUCGGAUUGUAAAGCUCUGUCUUUUGGGACGAUAAUGACGGUACCAAAGGAGGAAGCCACGGCUAACUACGUGCCAGCAGCCGCGGUAAUACGUAGGUGGCGAGCGUUGUCCGGAUUUACUGGGCGUAAAGGGUGCGUAGGCGGAUGUUUAAGUGAGAUGUGAAAUACCCGGGCUUAACUUGGGUGCUGCAUUUCAAACUGGAUAUCUAGAGUGCAGGAGAGGAGAAUGGAAUUCCUAGUGUAGCGGUGAAAUGCGUAGAGAUUAGGAAGAACACCAGUGGCGAAGGCGAUUCUCUGGACUGUAACUGACGCUGAGGCACGAAAGCGUGGGUAGCAAACAGGAUUAGAUACCCUGGUAGUCCACGCCGUAAACGAUGAGUACUAAGUGUAGGAGGUAUCGACCCCUUCUGUGCCGCAGUAAACACAUUAAGUACUCCGCCUGGGAAGUACGAUCGCAAGAUUAAAAC